RNAcentral lists this ribosomal RNA (709 nucleotides) under Klebsiella michiganensis. RNAcentral describes it as "partial 16S rRNA". The record is from RNAcentral. Lineage: Bacteria; Pseudomonadati; Pseudomonadota; Gammaproteobacteria; Enterobacterales; Enterobacteriaceae.
UUGUCCAGGGGGCCGCCUUCGCCACCGGUAUUCCUCCAGAUCUCUACGCAUUUCACCGCUACACCUGGAAUUCUACCCCCCUCUACAAGACUCCAGCCUGCCAGUUUCGAAUGCAGUUCCCAGGUUGAGCCCGGGGAUUUCACAUCCGACUUGACAGACCGCCUGCGUGCGCUUUACGCCCAGUAAUUCCGAUUAACGCUUGCACCCUCCGUAUUACCGCGGCUGCUGGCACGGAGUUAGCCGGUGCUUCUUCUGCGGGUAACGUCAAUGAAUAAGGUUAUUAACCUCACUCCCUUCCUCCCCGCUGAAAGUACUUUACAACCCGAAGGCCUUCUUCAUACACGCGGCAUGGCUGCAUCAGGCUUGCGCCCAUUGUGCAAUAUUCCCCACUGCUGCCUCCCGUAGGAGUCUGGACCGUGUCUCAGUUCCAGUGUGGCUGGUCAUCCUCUCAGACCAGCUAGGGAUCGUCGCCUAGGUGAGCCGUUACCUCACCUACAAGCUAAUCCCAUCUGGGCACAUCCGAUGGCAAGAGGCCCGAAGGUCCCCCUCUUUGGUCUUGCGACGUUAUGCGGUAUUAGCUACCGUUUCCAGUAGUUAUCCCCCUCCAUCGGGCAGUUUCCCAGACAUUACUCACCCGUCCGCCACUCGUCACCCGAGAGCAAGCUCUCUGUGCUACCGUUCGACUUGCAUGUGUUAGGCCUGCCGCCAG